This 169-nucleotide ribosomal RNA is filed under the name uncultured bacterium. RNAcentral describes it as "partial 16S ribosomal RNA". It matches the Rfam family "Bacterial small subunit ribosomal RNA", at positions 338 to 524 of the family's 1533-position model. The record is from RNAcentral.
CCUACGGGAGGUGCUGGUGGGGAAUAUUGCGUGGGUUCCGAAACCCUGACGCACCAACGCCGCGUGAGUGAUGAAGGUCUUCGGAUUGAAAAGCUCUGUCUUCAGGGACGAUAAUGAGCGUACCGGAUGAGGAAGCCGCGGCUAACUACCCACUGCUGCCCGCGGUAAU